CCAAUAGCGUAUAUUAAAGUUGUUGCAGUUAAAAAGCUCGUAGUUGAAUUUCAGGCCUGGCUGGGCGGUCCGCCUUUUGGGUGAGUACUGCCUGUGGUCGGGUCCUACCUUCUGGCGACGCGUCAUGGCCUUCACCGGCCGUGGCGGGGAACCAGGACUUUUACUGGGAAAAAAUUAGAGUGUUCAAAGCAGGCAUUCGCUUGAGUACAUUAGCAUGGAAUGAUGGAAUAGGACAGUGGUUCUAUUUGUUGGUUUCUAGGACCGUUGUAAUGAUUAAUAGGGAUAGGUGGGGGCAUUAGUAUUCAAUUGUCAGAGGUGAAAUUCUUGGAUUUAUUGAAGACUAACUACUGCGAAAGCAUUUGCCAAGGAUGUUUUCAUUAAUCAAGAACGAAAGUUAGGGGAUCGAAGACGAUCAGAUACCGUCGUAGUCUUAACCAUAAACUAUGCCGACUAGGAAUCGGGCGAUGUUGACAAAAUGACGCGCUCGGCACCUCAUG
This 497-nucleotide ribosomal RNA is filed under the name uncultured Glomeromycotina. RNAcentral describes it as "partial small subunit ribosomal RNA". It matches the Rfam family "Eukaryotic small subunit ribosomal RNA", at positions 591 to 1092 of the family's 1831-position model. The record is from RNAcentral. Lineage: Eukaryota; Fungi; Glomeromycota.